Molecule: transfer RNA, 72 nt
Filed under: Paramuricea clavata
Lineage: Eukaryota; Metazoa; Cnidaria; Anthozoa; Malacalcyonacea; Plexauridae
Rfam family: tRNA
About the family: Transfer RNA (tRNA) molecules are approximately 80 nucleotides in length.
Source: Rfam by way of RNAcentral
GACCGCGUAGCUCAGUUGGCAGAGCAUUGGGCUAGUAUCCAAAGGUCGUAGGUUCGAUUCCCACUGUGGCCA